CGGAUUGGCAGCGCGGCGGUGAGGGCUCGCGGUAGGUGGUCGCGGCCUCGCCGGGGUGGGCCAGGCCCGGCCAGUCCGGGUCCGGCCAGUCCGG
This 94-nucleotide transfer RNA is filed under the name Streptomyces chrestomyceticus JCM 4735. RNAcentral describes it as "tRNA-Thr". Lineage: Bacteria; Bacillati; Actinomycetota; Actinomycetes; Kitasatosporales; Streptomycetaceae. The record is from RNAcentral.